RNAcentral lists this ribosomal RNA (161 nucleotides) under Amanita sp. EMD 15-2010. RNAcentral describes it as "5.8S ribosomal RNA". It matches the Rfam family "5.8S ribosomal RNA". From Rfam's summary of the family: 5.8S ribosomal RNA (5.8S rRNA) is a component of the large subunit of the eukaryotic ribosome. It is transcribed by RNA polymerase I as part of the 45S precursor that also contains 18S and 28S rRNA. Lineage: Eukaryota; Fungi; Basidiomycota; Agaricomycetes; Agaricales; Amanitaceae. The record is from RNAcentral.
ACAACUUUCAACAACGGAUCUCUUGGCUCUCGCAUCGAUGAAGGACGCAGCGAAAUGCGAUAAGUAAUGUGAAUUGCAGAAUUCAGUGAAUCAUCGAAUCUUUGAACGCACCUUGCGCUCCUUGGUAUUCCAAGGAGCAUGCCUGUUUGAGUGUCAUUAAA